Glossina fuscipes is the source of this 330-nucleotide long non-coding RNA. RefSeq lists it as uncharacterized. Lineage: Eukaryota; Metazoa; Arthropoda; Insecta; Diptera; Glossinidae. The transcript has 3 exons. The record is from RefSeq and is a predicted model, not a curated record.
AUCAGGCAACUCUGUUAAUAUAAGGCAGGGAACUUCCGGCAAUUUUAUCACGAGAAAAUUCUUUCGUUUCAGACUUUCGUCGUGAACAGAAGAAAAAAUGAGAGCUAAGUGGCGCAAAAAGCGUAUGAGGAGGUUGAAGCGUAAACGCAGAAAGAUGCGUGCGCGUUCUAAGUAAACUGGAUUAAAUUGGCAACGAUUCUGUUUUAGAUCCUUCGUCUAUAUUCCGAUAAAAUUUAUAAUACGGUGUAACUUCAAGUUCUUGGCAGACACAACCUUAAAAAUUGCCUUAAUAAAUAAAAAUUUUAAUUUGGCUUGAAGUGAAAACAAAAA